Musa acuminata AAA Group (dessert banana) is the source of this 1203-nucleotide long non-coding RNA. RefSeq lists it as uncharacterized. The transcript has 2 exons. NCBI's taxonomy places the organism in Eukaryota, Viridiplantae, Streptophyta, Magnoliopsida, Zingiberales, Musaceae. The record is from RefSeq and is a predicted model, not a curated record.
GAACAGCCAGCAAGCCCCCUUAGAACUGGAGUCCGGAGCCAAUCAGAUUGUAUUAAGUCAUGGAAAUCCACGAUUGGUAAGAAAAACACUUUCGCCCCCUCUGUUGGAUUUUUUCAAGUCCUCGGUUUCGAAGCUUUGGAGUUGUUCCUCUCCCCCCUUUGAUCCUCGAUCUGGCCCGAGGUUACUUUCUCUUUCGCUUUUCGUCAGAGGAACACGUUGGACGCGUUCUAACCGACGGCCCUUCGACUGGUUCCGGUGCUUAGAACGACUGCCGAUUUGGAUCUAACUACUGGGUCGUUCAACUGCCGCCGCUUUCUUAUGCGUCGGACCUUGUGGAUGCAUCUAAGCCAUCCACGUCUGCCGAGUUGGCCAACCGUGAGUCUUGGGUCUUCGGGUCACCCAGCUUAUGACUCAUCCUUCCCCGGGCGAGACUGCUCUCACACCUGCAUCGGUGUCAAAUUUCUCACCGCCGAUGACUCAGCCCAUGCCAUCCACGGCUACUGGGCUAGCCAACAGCGGUCAAUCUGAGUCUUCAGUCCAAUCCGAGUUGCGUGUGGACUUGGGAACUGCAAGAGAAUAUUUGAUCGCCAAUCCAGCUUCUGACCCAGCUGCCAGCUACAACUCCCUCGAUGUUGCCUGCGGCUCCCCCCAAUAGCUCCAGAAGCCAUUCAUUCCUGGGCUAAGCUCUCCACCUCCCCUCAGGCCUCGGUCUCAUCCUCUCCAUCCUGUGGCGAUGGCUUUGCAAUGGGCCUUUGCUCCUCGGCCACCUAUCAUGGCCCUAUGCUGCGUGGCUUAGAGCCCGAUUCCGUUGGCGAUGAGAUCGUUGAUGUUCCACUUCGAUAUGAGGAAUCUGCUGCCUCCAAAACCCCCCAAUCAACAUGCUGGGGAGGCCUUCUCCUUGUCAGCUUGUCACUCUUUGAGAUGUUUGAAUUGGGCUUAGGCAGUAGAGAGCUAUUCAGAAUUAUGGGCAAGUCUUGUUGGUUAUUAUGUUAUUGUUGUGUAAGUAUAUUUUGUAUGUAAUGAAAUGUUGUCGAUGAACCGAAAUUGAUAUACCUUGUAAAAGUGUUAGAAGAUCUCUCUUAUUUAGAAUUUCGGAAUGUUAAGUCUAGUUUACGAUGAUAUGGACUUGUGGUAAAUGGUUGGAGUUAUGAUUGUAUAAAUUACAUAGCUUGUGGAUUUAUAAAUGUUGUUCAUGUUUGUUAA